GACGAACGCUGGCGGCGUGCUUAACACAUGCAAGUCGAACGGAAAGGCCCUGCUUUUGUGGGGUGCUCGAGUGGCGAACGGGUGAGUAACACGUGAGUAACCUGCCCUUGACUUUGGGAUAACUUCAGGAAACUGGGGCUAAUACCGGAUAGGAGCUCCUGCUGCAUGGGGGGGGUUGGAAAGUUUCGGCGGUUGGGGAUGGACUCGCGGCUUAUCAGCUUGUUGGUGGGGUAGUGGCUUACCAAGGCUUUGAAGGGUAGCCGGCCUGAGAGGGUGACCGGCCACAUUGGGCCUGCGAUACGGCCCAGACUCCUACGGGAGGCAGCAGUGGGGAAUAUUGCACAAUGGGCGGAAGCCUGAUGCAGCAACGCCGCGUGCGUGAUGACGUCCUUCGGGUUGUAAACCGCUUUCGCCUGUGACGAAGCGUGAGUGACGGUAAUGGGUAAAGAAGCACCGGCUAACUACGUG
Molecule: ribosomal RNA, 468 nt
Filed under: uncultured bacterium
Lineage: Bacteria
Description: partial 16S ribosomal RNA
Rfam family: Bacterial small subunit ribosomal RNA
Source: RNAcentral